AUGUUUGAACAACCCAUCAACUUUCUGAGCUGGAACAUUAGGGGCUUGAACUGCCCGGAUCGACGCUCUACGGUGAACGCCACGAUCGCCUCCUCGUCGUGCCAUGUGGUGUGCCUACAAGAGACAAAACUCGGCAACAUCGACCGAUUCACCGCAGCUUCUCUGGGUGGCCAGAGGCUACGUAGUUUUGCGCAAAGACCGGCAAACGGCACUAGGGGAGGAAUCUUGCUGCUCUGGGAUGAUCGUCUUGUUGAGAUCACAUCCGUCUACGGCCCCACAGACCCCUCCUGUAAAGACGCUUUCUUCGCCGAGCUACUCAGCCAGAAGCCUACGACUGGGGUGGCAUGGCUCGCCACUGGUGAUUUCAACCAAAUCUACCGGGCCAGAGACAAAAACAAAAGAAAUGUCAACCGAAGCAGGAUCAACCGUUUUAGAGCAACGCUACAAAGCUGUGAGCUCAAAGAAAUACACCUCCAAAAUCGGCGUUUCACUUGGAGCAAUGAGAGGGAAACCCCAACUUUGUGCAAGUUAGACUCGUUCUUUUGCAACGCCGAGUGGGACGCAUCCUUCAACACCCACGUCCUUCAUGCUCUCUCCUCUUCCCUCUCCGACCAUUGUCCGCUACUACUUGCCGAUGAUAAGGGACCAAGGAAGCCUCGGGUCUUUAAAUUCGAAAACUUCUGGGCAUCCAUACCCGGGUUCCAUGAGUUGGUCCAAAGGGCGUGGAACGAGAGGGUGGAUCACACUGAGCCAUAUCAAAUCCUAUACUACAAGCUCAAGAAGACGGCUCUCCGCCUCGCAGAAUGGAGUAGGAGACUUUUCUCAAAGGCAAAAAUUCACCACCAUGCCGCUCUUCUGGUGAUCCUUCGCCUCGACAUCGCCCAAGAGGACAGGCUCCUCUCCACCGAGGAGCUCGACCUUCGGGCCAGGCUUAAGAGAAGGGUCAUCGCCUUGGCUGUGCUAGAAAGAUCGCGCAAGAAACAAUCCGCAUCCUCCCUCCCGCACUCGCGCCUCCCCCGCGCCCAGCUCCUCCCGCCUCGCCGCCUCCUCCUCUCCCCUCCCGCGCGCCUCUCUCCUCCCACCCACAUCGCCGCCGCCACCCACCACCUCGAACCGCACCGUCGGCGGCCAGAUCCGCCGCAACAGAGCCCCCCCACCCUCCCCAACGAUGAUGAGCAGCAGCGGAGGGAGGACGUGGAGCACGACAGCGGCGGCGGAGGGGAGCAGCAGCAGCAGGCCUCGCCGUGGCGCCCCUCGCCUCCUCGUCGCCCGCCGGGGGCGCCUGGUUCAGGGCCGCCCUCGCCUGCCGCGGCUACGUCGUGCUGUCGCUGCUCGCCCUCGCGCUCCUCCUCCUUCUCCUUGUUGGGUACCUCAGCCAGAAAAGGAGGGCACCAUUCACCAUGGAGGACUGCCGCGUCCAGUCUCCCUCACUCCCUCACUUCCUCCCUCCUGCCUCAAUACCCUAGCACCCAUGACCAUGGCGACUCCACUGGAGGUGCAGCAAGCAGGUCAGGUCCCUUCCCCUUCUUCUUUUUCUCCCUCUGGUGUUCCUCCUCUCUGCAUCUGAUGCCUGUGUGCGGUCGUGUGCAGGUGCUGUUGUGUGAAGGACAGGAGAAGAGGGUAGAGGAGAGGAUUGCUACUGUCUCACCUGCUUCUCCGUCUUCUUCUUCUACUACGUCCUAUGAAGUUUUGGGUAAUAAACUAUGUUGGUCAGACCAGGAGGCGUUGCCAUCGAUUAUAGGGUGUCGGACCAACGUCCUCGUGUUCGUGCAUCUUCAGAAGAAACGACCCGAGGUGAGUCGCCUCUGGUCCGCCGCACGAAGAGAGCGGGGGCUAGAUCGCAAGGGCAGAGUUGCAGUCCUCCAGGGCCGCGGGAAGAAGAAGAUGGGACUCAUAUACAAGCCUCCCUCUCGUGGUGAACACUCUUCCCUGGAAUUGAUGGAAGAUCUGCCUUGCAGCCUUAGAGGAUCCAUGCAUCGUGUGAUGUAUGGCCUACAGGCUACCAAUGCAACUGAUGUAGUCCUGCAUGACAAAAAUAAUUUAGUGGUGCUUGGGUCUAGGAGUGAACUGGUGAGCCAUUUCAUCUCUCCAACCAUCUCCCAAUUUUUGGUCAGGGUUCUGUACUAUAGGAGGAAACAAGAUGGGGCAUGUGGUUUUCAAGGAAAAAUAUUGGAACUGUCAUAUUGUCCUAUCUUAACAUAUGUUGUGCUCGCCAAGUUCAACGUCUGGUAUUCGGUGACAAGUCUGAAUGAAUAUAUUAACCUGAGCAGCACCUCCCUGGCUUCCUUGCCUUGCUGCUCUAGCACCAGCCUCGCCACCACUAAGGAUACCCAUCAUGUGUUUAGGAUCCCACACAUGGCGGUUCUUGACAUGCUUCGAGCACACCUUGGGCUAUCACCAGCUCAGUGCUUGCUGCACCCAUAUAUUUUUGGAGUAGAGGAGAUGCUUUAUGUGCUUAAUGGUGAGACGUCUCACAUGAUCUUAAAUAUGAUCAGCGAAAACCUGACUUCUUCAAUUUUUAGGUGCUGGAGAUGUAUAGAACAGGACGAAGUUUACCCUGAAUAUGCCGUCUAUCCCCUUCCUGAAGGCAAAGCUUGGGUGACACAUCUCUUGGCAGUGGCUUGCCUAUCUCUCGCUUCAAAGAUGGAGGAGACAUAUGUGCAGCUCCCCGUGGACCUACAGAGGAUGCAAGCUAUUACUGCUUGCUCAUUUAUUGACUACUUCCUUUGCAAAUUCAAUGAUCAUGACGCACCCUCCAUGCUCGCAUUCUCCUGCUCGACCGACCUCAUCCAGAGCACAGCUAAAGGCCGUCAUGCUUAUUCUCGACAUGCAAUGGAUUCUUAUGUCUGUUUAGGCCUAACCUCACCAAACUUUGCUACACUUCACAUCAUGAGGGAGGGAGGAUGCGUCCAUUGCAACACAAGCAAAUCAGGUGACAAGGUGUUUGGAGAAGCUACUCAUAGCUAA
This 2967-nucleotide ribosomal RNA is filed under the name Triticum aestivum (bread wheat). Its description in RNAcentral is "partial small subunit ribosomal RNA". Lineage: Eukaryota; Viridiplantae; Streptophyta; Magnoliopsida; Poales; Poaceae. The record is from RNAcentral.